This 46-nucleotide non-coding RNA is filed under the name Schistosoma margrebowiei. The record is from RNAcentral. Lineage: Eukaryota; Metazoa; Platyhelminthes; Trematoda; Strigeidida; Schistosomatidae.
GCACUGCUGUAGAGUUCCUUACUAGGACGAAACGGCCGUCCAGUAC